AGCUGAAGGGCCAGAGGCUUAUCAUGUUGUUCUUAACUCCCUCAAUGGCAGUUUUAAAAAUUCGGGAUAACUUUACUUAAUAUCAUGCAAGUUGAAAACCUUUUCUUUCAAAAAUCAAAAUUCAUUCUCAAUGAUUCUCUUUCUCUUGAAACCAAUAUGUUGGUUGUAGUUGAGCUUAUUACUCAAUCAGGGGUCAUUGCUGCUGCCUAUUCUUUUUUUGUUUGCUCUUCUCUUUUCUGUUCUUUAAAAUCUUAUCCUUUAUUUGACAAAACAAUUGCUGUAUAGGAUCUCAUUUUUGUUUCUUGUUGGAUAGGAAUAUUAUAUCAGGCAUGUGGAUGGGUCCCCUAUUAGUUCUGAAGCAGAGAGGCAAAGGGUAAUCCACUGCUUGGAGGCAGCUAUUAGAAGGAGAACUCCUGAGGUAUAAACUUUUGUAAGUUCAACUUUGAUGCUAGUCUCCAAUUUUCUCCAUGUGUGAUUCAUAUUCAUGUUUCAACUCUUUGUAAUGCAGGGUAUAAGACUAGAACUUUGUGGUGAAGACAGGGUUGGCCUUUUGUCUGAGGUGACCCGCAUAUUUAGGGAAAAUGGUCUGUCAGUGACUCGAGCAGAGGUUACAACCAGGGGUUCCCAGGCUGUAAAUGUUUUCUAUGUGACUGAUGCAUCAGGACAUCCAGUGAAGAGUGAAACAAUUGAACUAGUUAGAAAAGAGAUUGGACUAACUAUACUCCGUGUGAAGGAUGAUGCUCAAUCGACUCCCCAGGAAAAUGGGAGAUUCUCCUUGGGUAAUCUCUUUCGAUCUAGAUCAGAGAAGUUCCUUUACAACUUGGGUUUAAUAAAGUCCUAUUCCUGAGCAGAUCAGUAGCUAAACUAGGAUCUGUGAGCUUGUGUACAUGUUAGUAUAGGUUGGCAUAGCAGCAUAGAUUUUAGCUUUAGGUCAAUCAGCUGUUGAUCUUGUGUCAUUCCUGAAACUUGCAACAAAUUUCAACUUGUAAAUCUUCUUGUGAAUAUCUUUUCAUAUCAUUGUUCUAUUUCUGUAUGGACUCAAUUGUUUCAUUUAUUCUACUGGGCCAUCUAUGAACCAUAUCCAUAAACAAGAAAUGCA
This 1099-nucleotide unclassified non-coding RNA is filed under the name Hevea brasiliensis (rubber tree). The record is from RNAcentral. Lineage: Eukaryota; Viridiplantae; Streptophyta; Magnoliopsida; Malpighiales; Euphorbiaceae.